RNAcentral lists this ribosomal RNA (661 nucleotides) under Enterobacter hormaechei. Its description in RNAcentral is "partial 23S ribosomal RNA". It matches the Rfam family "Bacterial large subunit ribosomal RNA", at positions 2270 to 2925 of the family's 2925-position model. The record is from RNAcentral. Lineage: Bacteria; Pseudomonadati; Pseudomonadota; Gammaproteobacteria; Enterobacterales; Enterobacteriaceae.
UUGACUGGGGCGGUCUCCUCCCAAAGAGUAACGGAGGAGCACGAAGGUUGGCUAAUCCUGGUCGGACAUCAGGAGGUUAGUGCAAUGGCAUAAGCCAGCUUGACUGCGAGCGUGACGGCGCGAGCAGGUGCGAAAGCAGGUCAUAGUGAUCCGGUGGUUCUGAAUGGAAGGGCCAUCGCUCAACGGAUAAAAGGUACUCCGGGGAUAACAGGCUGAUACCGCCCAAGAGUUCAUAUCGACGGCGGUGUUUGGCACCUCGAUGUCGGCUCAUCACAUCCUGGGGCUGAAGUAGGUCCCAAGGGUAUGGCUGUUCGCCAUUUAAAGUGGUACGCGAGCUGGGUUUAGAACGUCGUGAGACAGUUCGGUCCCUAUCUGCCGUGGGCGCUGGAGAAUUGAGGGGGGCUGCUCCUAGUACGAGAGGACCGGAGUGGACGCAUCACUGGUGUUCGGGUUGUCAUGCCAAUGGCACUGCCCGGUAGCUAAAUGCGGAAGAGAUAAGUGCUGAAAGCAUCUAAGCACGAAACUUGCCCCGAGAUGAGUUCUCCCUGAGACUUUAAGUCUCCUGAAGGAACGUUGAAGACGACGACGUUGAUAGGUCGGGUGUGUAAGCGCAGCGAUGCGUUGAGCUAACCGAUACUAAUGAACCGUGAGGCUUAACCUU